UACGAAGGGGGCUGGCGUUGUUCGGAUUUACUGGGCGUAAAGCGCACGUAGGCAGAUCGUUAAGUGAGGGGUGAAAUCCCAGGGCUCAACCCUGGAACUGCCUUUCAUACUGGCGAUCUAGAGUCCGGAAGAGGUGAGUGGAACUCCUAGUGUAGAGGUGGAAUUCGUAGAUAUUAGGAAGAACACCAGUGGCGAAGGCGGCUCACUGGUCCGGUACUGACGCUGAGGUGCGAAAGCGUGGGGAGCAAACAGG
Molecule: ribosomal RNA, 253 nt
Filed under: uncultured bacterium
Lineage: Bacteria
Description: partial 16S ribosomal RNA
Rfam family: Bacterial small subunit ribosomal RNA
Source: RNAcentral